UCAAAUCGUUUAAACACUCAGCAAUGUUUUUGCUAUCCGUGCAGACUUCUAAAGAGCUGGAGCCCCAGCGUGAUGACCAAAUCGGCCUUGACUAUUUAUCUCUCCACAGUCAUUCUUUCCCGGGGCCCCGGAGUAGCUGAGUUGCACUGUGUGCGGUGCAGUGGGGGAGCUUCCCCUGCUGAAGCUGGGCGGUUCCACUGGACAAUGCAGCCUUUUCUGCUCCACUCUCUGGGCGCGGAAACAAUGAGAUGGUCCAGGGAGAGGGGGUGAGGCUGAUUGUUUAUAACAGCGAUUCCCAAACUUCCUAGGGGAAGACAUUUUCAUAUUUAAAAAAAGUGUGUAUUAUGAUUACGGAUUCUCUUUACACUCUUGUUUAAUUGUAAAAGGACGACAGGCACUUGAUUUUAAAAAAUUAAUAUGUGAAAUCACGCUGAUCUUAUUCGGGGGAAUCACCUCUUUCUCACUGUGCACAGUCCUCGUGGGAAUGUCAAUUAAGUCCUUUGUCCUCUGGUAGCCAAGGAUGAGAUCCCUUUCAGAAAGCAAGAGGGCCUGCUGGUUCUGCCCCAAGAUCGUGAGCUGGAGUAAAGAGAUGCCAUUCAACCUUGAAAUCAUUUUCUAGAAGCAGUAUCUGUUGGCCUUUGGGGAUGCUAAAACCUCCUCUGCCUACUGUGGCCAAGGAAAGAAACAGUCCACUGGCCAAAUUUGCAGACUCUGGGGCAAGACCAUCCGGUUUUGGAACAUAGUCACGGACAGUUAAGAUGGAAAGAACUAAGAAGGCACAAUUGCAUUUUUAUUCCACAACCAGGCAACUCAAAACUGGGGUCCUCAGCAGUGAGCCGGGGCAGGUGAGAAGACACUAUGUACAUGUGGCACAUCUUCUGGGAAAGUCAACUUUACUCAAAGUUUUUACUGAGAUAAAAUUGAUGUCCAGCACUGUGUAAGUGUAAGGCGUACGGCAUGAUGAUUCGAUUUACGUAUACCAUGAAAUGAUUAUCAAGUUAUAGAAGACCUGCAUUCACUGAGCACUUGCUGAUUACCAGCAACUUCCCAGCAAUUAACAUCAUCAUGUAUGUCUCUCAAUAGGUUUGUUCUAAAGAGCUUGCCCAAGGAUCUGGACUAGGAUGAGGAGAGUGAAGCACCUAGAGGGCAGAAUUUAAGGAAACAUUCACCAUCAAGGUCAUGCCAGUUGCCCAACCCUGAGAAGGAGUGCUUCCUAAAAUUUUGCUUUUGGACGCCUCACUGUUCUCACCCUGUCUGGGUUCUGCUGAUCCCGGAGAACUACCUCUCAGGUUUAAUCAUCUGUGCCCUCAAGUCUGGACUACAAGCAGACCUCAGGGAUACUGUCCAUGUCCUGUUCUGUUGCAGACGACCUGGUGACCCAGAGAAAGCAAAUGCCGCAAUAAACUUGGUGUUCAGUGACUUCGUGUUGGCAGCUCAGAGGUGACCAGGCUGGAGUAUUUACACUGUGGAAAUUGGCAGAAGCAACAAAGAUGACAGGUAUUCUGUUCUGUUGCUCAACCAAGAGACUUAGUUGGAAAACAAGAAAUUCCUGGAAUCACUACUUGCCUAAAGCUUUUUCUAGCUGGAGUCCGUGCUUGAGGCUCAAAGGUUACAGUACCAUGAGUUGAGGAACUCUGCAGGCUGUGAAAUCAUCCGCCCAAAGAUGCCAGAAGUUCCAAUCAGGACCUUCUAAAUCUGAAUGCUUGGAGAUGGAGCCCAGCUAGGUAGCACAGGCAGUCCUUCCCUGGCUGGCGAACUGGGGAGCCAACAUUGAGUCCGAUUCCUGAUCUUGUCCUCUGGACACUUACCCCUUGGCAACAAGCUCCUGGAUUGCACCAGCUCUACUGCAAGUGCUCGGCAACUGAGUUGGCUCGUGGCUACCAUUUUGGACAGGGCGGAGUCAGAGGACGAGGAGUUUGGGAGAGCUGAGAUAGAUGGAGUGAGGAGGGAAGAUCCAGGAAGGUUUCCUUACUUGGCAGAGGGACGCUGCAGUGUGAUUAAAUGAAGCCUGUUGAGUCGGAGAGCGCGGCGGCGUGGAUCAGCCAGAGCGUGCAGGAGGAAGGCUCCCUCGCCAUCACCGUGGUUUAAGCCCCGUGAGGUGGAUUUUGGACUUGAGACUUCAUGACCGCCCAAACCUAAGACCCAGGACCGGCUGCGUACUUUGGAGAGCCCAGUGCGAUGUGAACAUGCCUUAAAAAAUUCGUUAAGAGUGUCAAGACGGACACAGCCGAGCAUUGCAGCCUCUCAGCACGGGCUCCUGUGUGACUCCGUCCACCACACGCCUGGGAAGGCGGCGCUGGCACUGGGGUCGACCAGCCCGUGUGUGCUGGCCCAACCCCGGUCAGUGCCUGCUGCCCAGGGCUGCCCAGCAGAGGUGAACUGCCCGGAUCUCCUGCGUGACAACCUGACACUGCAACCAGGUUGGACAUUAAGGCUUCUUAAAACUCCAGAGAAAGGAAAUCCAGCUUCACGGCAUUACAUGACACCCACAGACCCCCGUGUGAGACGAACACAGUCACACAGAAGCGCGCAGCACUUCGGAGAGUGAAAGAGAACGGGUCUCCGCGCGAGAUCCAUCUCAGGAACACACAUCAGCUAAACCUCGGAGCUGCAUGGAGACCAUGAGGAGGCGGCGCUCUGCCACUCAGUAACUCCAGGUGCAGCACGCCCACAAGGUGGACACGUGGUGACCCUGAUCCCCGAGACGCAGACCACUUUUAGGAGGAAAGCUGGUGUGGCCAGAGAUGACGAGGAAGGAGAAAGGAGGCAGCCCACGUGUCACCCAUUUCAUGGCUGUGUGCCCGCAGAAGGCUGCGUGAAAGGCCUGCGGCUUUUAUGGGAAAGUCAGUAAAUGGUCCUUUUAUGUGCGAAGCCAGCUAAAAACUUGCAGAAGCACCCACCUCCACCUGGGCUCUGGGAAAGCAGCAAUUACGAGACGGGGAGGAACUGAGUAUUUCCAGAUCACGGGGAAAUAUAAUGGAAUUUUCAUUCCUUUAUCCACUUGGAUGACUCCAGUAUUGGAUAUUCAAGAUUUGAUCAGAUUAUUCUGGCUGUGGAGCUCACACGUAUGAGGACUUCCAUAACAUUUAUGUCUUAGAGUCUUCAUAGGUAAGGAAGACGCAAUAGAAGUGGGAUCAGGUUUCAGCUCCCCCCACUGCUGCUGCGCUGGUGAGUUUGAAUCUUUGUAGCGUGCUUUGAGAUAACUGGUUGAAGGGAACUCUAAUCUUCCAGGCUUCUGACCAACUGACUGAAGGGGAAAAGGAAGCUGUAAAUCGUAUUUUGGGCUCAGGUGACAGAGCGGCUCCAAGGGAGCGUCAGCAUGGGAAUGGCAGCAAAAGAAAUGGUGACGUCUAUACGGUUGGAUCUCUCCUCUCUUCAGUCGAACCUACAACCUCCUGCAUGGUAGCCCUACACUCUACCCCUGACCUGCAGCCUCUCUCAAGCUACCUUACUUCCCACACACUCACCUGUAUUUCCCCCAGCCCAGGGAGUGUGCUGGGUUCCAGGUUCCUCAGAAAAAAAUUAAAGUUCAUUUUUACAGUAAUGCAGAGUCCUACAUGCCCUUCUCUGUUGCUGUGUAUGCUUAGGAAAUUUCCCAAAUGGUCUGAAUUAACUUGGGAGUCUGCUUUCCCCACCAGACUUCUCUGGACUUGAUAGACGCUGAACCACUCUUAGGAUCAAGGGUUGCAACUCAUUCCUCCUUUUGCUGGGACAACUUUGGAGCGUUUUGAAAAGCAGGUAAUGAGUUAACACGUGAACAGUUUCCCUUCUCAUGCAUGUAUUAUUAUUACAUGCCCAACUGAAGUCGGAGCAAAUUUCUGCAAAGUAAUAAAUACACAAACAAAAGCCAUAACUUGAGCUUAGAAGAGCCACACCUGAAUUACACUAAAAAGUGAGCUGUGUGAAGGACAUCAUUGAAAUGAAUUUUUUUUUUUUUUUAAAGAAAGACUUCACUUUUAUGAGGAUAGUCAAGGGGGAAGAGGUAACAUAGUGUUUCAUGGUCAGUCGUACCUCUGCGUCCAUGGGCUAACCGACAACCUCACGACCUAAGCAGCAGCUGUUCCACUCCACGUGGCAUUACGGCAAGGCCCAAAGUGGCCAGAAUUCUGCCCUCACCAAACUGUCUUCUAUCGCUGACCAUUGUGACUAAGGGAAAGGAGGAAUGAGUUGCAACCCUUGUUCCUAAGAGAGAAUCAGCAUCUAUCAAGUCCAGAGAAGUCUGGUGGGGAAAGCAGACUCCCAAGUUAAUUCAGACCAUUUUGGAAAUGUAGAAAAGGUAUGCAGGACUCACUCUGCAUUACUGUAAAAAUGACAUUUGAUUUUUUCUGAGGAACCUGGAACCCAGCACACACCCUGGGCUGGGGGAAAGAAAGCUGUGGGAAAAUAAGGGAGCUAGAGAGAGGCUGCAGCUCAGGGGCAGAGCGGAAAUCUAGCACGCAGGAGGUCCUAGGUUUGAUUCUGCAGCCAGCACACCUUGCCCACUGCACCUGUCCGCGGACACCCCGCACCACCAAAGCCACUCUCCUUGCACACACGCCCUGUACUCUUCCUUCUACAUUGACAGGUUCCCUGAUGGCUUUUACGAUUUCGGCUUCACAUUUAGCAACGACACAUUUAGACUCUCCACAGGUAUCCGUGUCCUCCUAAACUAUCAUUUGAGAGUAAGGAUACAGUGAUUCUGGGCAAACUGUAAUGGACCAUAACGUCAAAAAAAUCUCAUAAUCACCCCAUGAAAACCAAAAUCCACAAAUAAGAUCCACAGAAAAACAAAACUGGGUGAGAAGAUAGCUUGACCCCAUCAUAGUGAAAGUUAAAAAACCAAGGCAAAGGAGGCCCCAAAGCGGAGGGGCCUUCUUCCCUGAGUCGCCACAAUGUUUCUCUGAGGCAAACGAUGAAAGCAACCAACCGGAGGUCAAUGUCUAAGCUAGAGGUUCCUUUUUUCUUUGUUUUUUCACUUGAUGACCACUUAGGGCCAGGUGGGUUACCACCUCUAUAGUGGACUUAAUUUUCAACAUGAUCCUGUGUACGAUACGUACUUUCAUAUCAGACUGCUCCUCUGUCAGAAACGUGCAGAGAGGCCCUAAGUCCCAUCAGUCCUGGAACACUGACCACUAAGUAACUAACUAACUAAAUAAAUAAAACCAGUCUAUAAAUACGAAGCUUUAUGGUUACCCUUAGUUACUUCACUCUUUCCGAGCAUAAUGCAGUCUGUCCCGAGGCCAGCGCUUUAUUUCUGUAGUGGGCUCUGCUGUCCUAUUUUCUGUAUCGUACAUCACACAUUAUGUUGCUCUCGUCAUCUUCUUAAGAUGCUCCACUAGUAUUUUUACUUGCCUUGAAAAAUGCAAGUGGGCAGUAAUGGAAGGGAGGGCCUGCUGGCUGAAGCUUUAUUUAAUUCGCGCAGCAGAACGUUGUCUUAGGAGCCUGUCUCCUCACCAGGGCUCCAAACUCCAAGAGGAGACGAAAAAGAGCUGCUCCUCAGAUCACCCCUCACCUCCUGAUGGCUAUAAUGUGUUCUUAGAAAACGGCAGGAGAGUUUGGG
Camelus dromedarius (Arabian camel) is the source of this 5539-nucleotide long non-coding RNA. RefSeq lists it as uncharacterized. The transcript is spliced from 22 exons. Lineage: Eukaryota; Metazoa; Chordata; Mammalia; Artiodactyla; Camelidae. The record is from RefSeq and is a predicted model, not a curated record.